UGCAAAACUCUGAGCUACCAAGGGAGCUGGGUGCACCAGCUCUGGAAUCAGUUAUAUUAGAACGCAGGCCCAUUCGAGAACUGGAAAUGUAUCUAAAGUGGAAAGCAGUCAGACGAGCAACGGUAUACUUACCCAAAAUUAACACCGUGCUUUCAAACAAGGCAGCUUAAUCACAACAAGAAGCAGAUGUCGACCCUUGCUGUCUCACAAGCAGGCGCCACAAGAAACUGCAGAUCACAUCAGCUUGUGGGUUAAAAACCUCUUCGGUAAUAACUUCAAUGAGAACUUCAAUGAUUAUGGAAUGUUUCUAACCAGCUGCCUGUCCGAUCGGCAGCUAUCAUCAUUGCCAUUGGUAAAAGGAAGGAAUGCUGUAUUUUGUUUGAUGCUGACGAUCGCUGGGACGUUCGUACCCUUUGUCAUUGCAAUUUUCAAUAAAAUGAA
Molecule: long non-coding RNA, 441 nt
Organism: Hemiscyllium ocellatum (epaulette shark)
Lineage: Eukaryota; Metazoa; Chordata; Chondrichthyes; Orectolobiformes; Hemiscylliidae
Exons: 3
Source: RefSeq, a predicted model, not a curated record